CCUACGGGUGGCUGCAGUGGGGAAUAUUGGACAAUGGGGGCAACCCUGAUCCAGCCAUGCCGCGUGUGUGAAGAAGGCCCUCGGGUUGUAAAGCACUUUCAGUGAGGAAGAACGCCUGGUGGUUAAUACCCAUCAGGAAAGACAUCACUCACAGAAGAAGCACCGGCAUAACUCCGUGCCAGCAGCCGCGGUAAUACGGAGGGUGCGAGCGUUAAUCGGAAUUACUGGGCGUAAAGCGCGCGUAGGUGGCUUGAUAAGCCGGUUGUGAAAGCCCCGGGCUCAACCUGGGAACGGCAUCCGGAACUGUCAAGCUAGAGUGCAGGAGAGGAAGGUAGAAUUCCCGGUGUAGCGGUGAAAUGCGUAGAGAUCGGGAGGAAUACCAGUGGCGAAGGCGGCCUUCUGGACUGACACUGACACUGAGGUGCGAAAGCGUGGGUAGCAAACAGGAUUAGAUACCCGUGUAGUC
RNAcentral lists this ribosomal RNA (466 nucleotides) under Vreelandella stevensii. RNAcentral describes it as "partial 16S ribosomal RNA". It matches the Rfam family "Bacterial small subunit ribosomal RNA", at positions 338 to 795 of the family's 1533-position model. Lineage: Bacteria; Pseudomonadati; Pseudomonadota; Gammaproteobacteria; Oceanospirillales; Halomonadaceae. The record is from RNAcentral.